AAGCCCGUGGCUCAAUGGUAGAGCUUUUGACUCCUAAACUACAGGUCGCGGGUUCGAAUCCCAGGUUUG
RNAcentral lists this transfer RNA (69 nucleotides) under Schistocephalus solidus. It matches the Rfam family "tRNA". From Rfam's summary of the family: Transfer RNA (tRNA) molecules are approximately 80 nucleotides in length. Their secondary structure includes four short double-helical elements and three loops (D, anti-codon, and T loops). Lineage: Eukaryota; Metazoa; Platyhelminthes; Cestoda; Diphyllobothriidea; Diphyllobothriidae. The record is from Rfam by way of RNAcentral.